UCUUGGUCUGGGCUCUGUGCGU
This 22-nucleotide microRNA is filed under the name Ovis aries (sheep). Its description in RNAcentral is "miRNA 32-f". The record is from RNAcentral. Lineage: Eukaryota; Metazoa; Chordata; Mammalia; Artiodactyla; Bovidae.